RNAcentral lists this ribosomal RNA (254 nucleotides) under uncultured bacterium. Its description in RNAcentral is "partial 16S ribosomal RNA". It matches the Rfam family "Bacterial small subunit ribosomal RNA", at positions 524 to 776 of the family's 1533-position model. The record is from RNAcentral.
CACGUAGGGUGCGAGCGUUGUCCGGAAUUAUUGGGCGUAAAGAGCUCGUAGGCGGUGUGUCGCGUCGGCCGUGAAAACCUGCAGCUUAACUGUGGGCUUGCGGUCGAUACGGGCAUCACUGGAGUUCGGCAGGGGAGACUGGAAUUCCUGGUGUAGCGGUGGAAUGCGCAGAUAUCAGGAGGAACACCGGUGGCGAAGGCGGGUCUCUGGGCCGAUACUGACGCUGAGGAGCGAAAGCAUGGGUAGCGAACAGG